AAACCAGCACCUCAAGUGGUCAGGAUGAUUAUUGGGCCUAAAGCAUCCGUAGCCGGCUCUGUAAGUUUUCGGUUAAAUCUGUACGCUUAACGUACAGGCUGCCGGGAAUACUGCAGAACUAGGGAGUGGGAGAGGUAGACGGUACUCGGGAGGAAGUGGUAAAAUGCUUUGAUCUCUCGAUGACCACCUGUGGCGAAGGCGGUCUACCAGAACACGUCCGACGGUGAGGGAUGAAAGCUGGGGGAGCAAACCGGAUUAGAAACCCGGGUAGUCC
Molecule: ribosomal RNA, 274 nt
Filed under: uncultured bacterium
Lineage: Bacteria
Description: partial 16S ribosomal RNA
Rfam family: Archaeal small subunit ribosomal RNA
Source: RNAcentral